GGGUGAUUAGCUCAGCUGGGAGAGCACCUCCCUUACAAGGAGG
This 43-nucleotide transfer RNA is filed under the name Escherichia coli 1-110-08_S1_C3. RNAcentral's name for it is "partial tRNA-Val". It matches the Rfam family "tRNA", at positions 1 to 42 of the family's 71-position model. From Rfam's summary of the family: Transfer RNA (tRNA) molecules are approximately 80 nucleotides in length. Their secondary structure includes four short double-helical elements and three loops (D, anti-codon, and T loops). Further hydrogen bonds mediate the characteristic L-shaped molecular structure. tRNAs have two regions of fundamental functional importance: the anti-codon, which is responsible for specific mRNA codon recognition, and the 3' end, to which the tRNAs corresponding amino acid is attached (by aminoacyl-tRNA synthetases). tRNAs cope with the degeneracy of the genetic code in two manners: having more than one tRNA (with a specific anti-codon) for a particular amino acid; and 'wobble' base-pairing, i.e. permitting non-standard base-pairing at the 3rd anti-codon position. Lineage: Bacteria; Pseudomonadati; Pseudomonadota; Gammaproteobacteria; Enterobacterales; Enterobacteriaceae. The record is from RNAcentral.